Long non-coding RNA from Cercocebus atys (sooty mangabey), 1126 nucleotides. RefSeq lists it as uncharacterized. The transcript is spliced from 2 exons. The record is from RefSeq and is a predicted model, not a curated record. Lineage: Eukaryota; Metazoa; Chordata; Mammalia; Primates; Cercopithecidae.
CCCCUCAACGCUCCGCCGUGUGGCACUGGAAGGGACCUAAAAGCCCUCCUGGCUUUCUCCUUUCCUCUUCCCCUCGCUUCCCAGGGGCCCAAGGCCCGCAUCUCAGUUUCCCUUUCCGGCAGGGUCAGGGGUGAGAGGGAGGAAUUCUUAGGUGUCACCUCCUCACCCGCCUGGAGGCGGCGGCUAGAGAGACGCCGGGGCACCCUGAAGGGGAGGAAGCGGUGUGCCACGAAUUCUCUCUCUUAAAUGCUCGCGUUAUCACGGAGGAGACUUUAUAAACACUUUAAACACAACACCAACCAUUUUAUCAGCAAAAGCGAGGGGAGGGGGGCGUACAGUAAAUGCUGAGAGAUGUGCAAGAAGCCCCGAGACGUUCCCUGCGGAAGGAGAACGGAAGAAAGAAAAUUCCGGACGGAAAAAGAAUUCUUUGCUGAAGAAUGCAGCUGUAUUAAAGGAAGAAAGAAAACCAAGCUACAGCUCCUUAUAAUUCAACAAGCAUUUAAAAGGUUUAUAAAAUGGUGCAAUUAUGUAUUUAAGCUGCUUCAACACAAGUUCUUGCCUUUCACUCCCACCCUGUGGCUUACACUGGUAUUACAUCUAUUCUGACAUUUAAAAAUCAACAUUAAAGAACAUGUUGUAAUAAUGUAUUCUAUGGCUUAAAUAUUUAAAAAAUUUUACACCAUACCUAGAAAGUGUUGUGUACUUUCUAAAGCUUAUAAACUGACAAGUCCAGAGAUCUGAAGAAUCCUAAUACCGAAUCAUAAGUUAUAAUUCAUCCAAAAUUGUAUAGUUCUUAAAUUUCAAAUCCAAACCAGUGGAUAUCUAUCUUUAGUGACAUUUAGAUUUUAUUUAAUUUAGGUCAUUGUAGCUAUUAUAAAUGGAAGACUUUACUUCAUUGUGUCUUAUCACUUAAGUACCUCACUCUUGCUUUUCAAAAUAUUUCUUUCAAUUUCUUCAGUCUUAUUUGUUCUCUAAGACAAAGACUUGAUUUCAGUUUGUUUUUCUUAAAAUUAAUAUCUUCUUCAAUUUAUUUCCCAGUUUUUUCUAAAUAAAUACUUUAAAUAUAUAGAGAGUAUUAUUUUUAUAGUAUCUCAAAAUUAGUAAAAUAAAAUCUUGCCAAUACAAA